RNAcentral lists this long non-coding RNA (1547 nucleotides) under Sus scrofa (pig). RNAcentral describes it as "lncRNA (ENSSSCG00070021334.1)". Lineage: Eukaryota; Metazoa; Chordata; Mammalia; Artiodactyla; Suidae. The record is from RNAcentral.
GGGCUUUAUUGCUUCAGAAAUAUCCCUGCCCUGGGGAUCAUAUGUCUCUCCUGGUGCUGGGAACUACUCUGCUGGAGGCAAUGUGGGACCCAGCACCUGGGUGGCAAGGAGGAGGAGGUGAGGGAGGAGGAUUUGGCUUCAGCUCAUUGUAAAUUAAGGUCCCUUCUACAACAACCCCCUGAGUGAAGGCAAUACCUGUUAAGAUGCAUGACAUUUUAGGAUUGGUAAUCAAAUUCAUCAGUAAUACCUAAUGAGAAUUAACUAACUCAUUCUUUACGAGGCAAACCUAUUGGAGAAGGGCGUGUACAAGAAUUAAAUGACAGUUGGAAGAGAGCAAGUGAAUUGUCACUGGGAGGAAGUCCUGAGGAGCCUGUGCAAGACGCGAGAGGGCGCUAUAGACCCUCAAGAAGAGAAGUGUGGUGGCGAAUCAGAAAGGGAGGAACACCUUUUACAUCUUGUGGAACUCACUUUGGAUAUGUGGAGUGAUAUGACUGUGAAGCAAGAAAGGGGCCUUGGACUAUGGACAUAUUCAAAAGAUCCAUCGUAAAUGCUGACUUUUGGAGUUUUAGAAGCUAAUUUUUGUUUGGCCUUGCCUGUGUAAGAAUAUACAGGGAAAUUCAUCACAGGGCUUCCUGGCAAGGUCCAUCCUAGGUCAUUCAGAGGCUGCGUUCCUCAGCCACAGCUUUUUUGUUUCCUGGAAAUCCUCAGAUCCUCCUCUGUGAUACCAAAAUAUCUGCUUCUUGCAACACACCUCGCCAUUGCCAACACAAUCUGUUGUAAUGAACUGACUUUUUUUUUCUUUCCUUGUGUUCUUCAGGAUUCUUAAUCUCACUUGCCUUUUCCUGAAUCAAAGCAUUUGAGUUUGGCUUCAAGUUAAUUUUCCAUCUGUUUAAUCUCCAUGAUUUCUGAGUGUAUUCAGUGAUGAGUGCACUGGACUGUUCUAUUUCUUUUCUUUUCUUUUUUUUUUUUUUGUCUUUUUGCCUUUUCUAGGGCCAUUCCCGUGACAUAUGGAGGAUCCCAGGCUAAGAGUCUAACCGGAGCUGUAGCCGCCAGCCUACGCCACAGCCAUAGUAACGCUGGGAUCCGAGCCACAUCUGUGACCUACACUACAGCUCACGGCAACACCAGUUCCUUAACCCCUUGAGCGAUGCUAGGGACCGAACUCGCAACCUCAUGGUUCCUAGUUGGAUUCGUUAACCACUGAGCCACGACGGGAACUCCCUAUUUCAUUCUUGAUCACAGUUUAGAAGGACAGAUCAUUUAACUAUUCUGGGCUUCAGUUUCCUCAUGAUUUAAAUGAGAAUUUUAGUUGUGUGCUCCGUCAGGUCUUUUCCAGAGCUAACGGGGAGUCUGUAUGCCUGUAAAAGCAAGUAUAGAAGACUGGAAAGAACAUGGGCUCUGCAUCAAAGAAAGCUGAGUGCAAAUCUUAGAGUUUUGUGAUUUUGGCUUUGUCACUGUUGUUUUCUGAGGUGUAUUUUCUUUUUCAUUCAUAUUCCUUUUUUAUCCUUCUGAUCCAAUGAAUUGCACUGCCCCGUCUUCAAGUCUGC